CCUACGGGAGGCAGCAGUGGGGAAUCUUCGGCAAUGGGCGCAAGCCUGACCGAGCGACGCCGCGUGGAGGACGAAGGCCUUCGGGUUGUAAACUCCUUUUCAGGGGGAAGAAUAAGUCCGGGAGGCAAUGCCCGGGCGAUGACGGUACCCCUGGAAUAAGCCACGGCUAACUCUGUGCCAGCAGCCGCGGUAAGACAGAGGCGGCGAGCGUUACCCGGAUUCACUGGGCGUAAAGGGUGCGUAGGCGGUCGCGCAUGGCGUCGGUAAAAUCUCCCGGCCCAACGGGGAGAGGUCCGACGAAACUGCGGGGCUGGAGGGCCGGAGAGGGAGGCGGAACUUCCAGAGUAGGGGUGAAAUGCGUAGAUACUGGAAGGUCCCUCAAUAGCGAAGGCGGCCUCCUGGCCGGUUCCUGACGCUGAGGCACGAAAGCGUGGGGAGCAAACCGGAUUAGAUACCCUUGUAGU
Molecule: ribosomal RNA, 464 nt
Filed under: uncultured bacterium
Lineage: Bacteria
Description: partial 16S ribosomal RNA
Rfam family: Bacterial small subunit ribosomal RNA
Source: RNAcentral